UAGUCCACGCCGUAAACGAUGUAUGCUAGAUGUCUGGAUUUCGGUCUGGGUGCCGGAGCUAACGCAUUAAGUUGACCGCCUGGGGAGUACGGUCGCAAGACUAAAACUCAAAGGAAUUGACGGGGCCCGCACAAGCGGUGGAGUAUGUGGUUUAAUUCGAUGCAACGCGAAGAACCUUACCUGGAUUUGACAUCCCGUGCUACCCCUGGAAACGGGGGGUUCUCUUCGGAGACGCGGUGACAGGUGCUGCAUGGCUGUCGUCAGCUCGUGUCGUGAGAUGUUGGGUUAAGUCCCGCAACGAGCGCAACCCUUAUCCUUAGUUGCCAGCACAUUAUGGUGGGAACUCUAGGGANACUGCCGGUGACAAACCGGNGGAAGGUGGGGAUGACGUCAAGUCAUCAUGGGCCCUUAUGGGGUAGGGGCUACACACGUGCUACAAUGGUCGGUACAGAGGGGUUGCCAAGCCGCGAGGUGGAGCUAAUCUCACAAAACCGNUCGUAGUCCGGAUU
This 509-nucleotide ribosomal RNA is filed under the name uncultured bacterium. RNAcentral's name for it is "bacterial SSU rRNA". It matches the Rfam family "Bacterial small subunit ribosomal RNA", at positions 791 to 1299 of the family's 1533-position model. The record is from RNAcentral.